RNAcentral lists this long non-coding RNA (633 nucleotides) under Neogale vison (American mink). RNAcentral describes it as "Neovison vison (American mink) lncRNA (ENSNVIG00000003064.1)". Lineage: Eukaryota; Metazoa; Chordata; Mammalia; Carnivora; Mustelidae. The record is from RNAcentral.
CUCUUUUUGGUGCUUGCUGACAUUCGUUCUAGUGCACAGGACUGUAGACCUGCAUUAGCCUUACCCCCAGAACUCCUGAAGAAAGGACACGGAUUCUCUGUGCCUUUAAAGUUCCUUUUUUCUGAUAAUCAAAAUAGAUCUUGAUUGACAGGUCAGAAUGCUGGCUUAAAUGGCUGAGUGGCAGUAUUUUUUAGAGAUGCCAGAGGUGUGACACUUGGAGAGUGAGCUGUGACCUCCAGCCGCUUCCCAAGCUUUCACACAUCAGCUCAGUGACUGUCGGAGGAAGUCGCAGGCCUCAAAAGAGUGCACCCAAGGAACAAAGGGUUGAACACUUGCCACAGAAAUAACAAACGUUUGACUCCCGCUCCAGCACUCUCUGCUCUCCUGUUUAUGGCAGACGUCACUAAUCAACCAUGGCAAUCUUUCCUGCUGGACCCAAGCAAGACCUCUGCAACAUAAUACCCCUGGAAGCUUCUAGCAGUAUGUGAGAAAUGGCCCGGAUUUGAAUCCUAUUAGCCUUCCCUGAUUAUAGGUAUUCAAAUAUUGAAUUAAGAAUUGAAAGAACUAUAGUCUUUCUCCCCUUAUUCCCAUGGAAAUAUUUGGUUGUUCUGGUAAUUUUAAAAUAUGUCUGCG